UCGCCUCUAGUUGCCAGCAUUCGGUUGGGGCACUCUAGAGGGACUGCCGGCGACAAGUCGGAGGAAGGUGGGGAUGACGUCAAAUCAUCAUGCCCCUUAUGACCUGGGCUACACACGUGCUACAAUGGGCGGUACAAAGGGCUGCGAACCCGCGAGGGGGAGCGAAUCCCAAAAAGCCGCUCUCAGUUCGGAUUGCAGGCUGCAACUCGCCUGCAUGAAGCCGGAAUCGCUAGUAAUCGCGGAUCAGCAUGCCGCGGUGAAUACGUUCCCGGGCCUU
RNAcentral lists this ribosomal RNA (277 nucleotides) under uncultured Geobacillus sp. Its description in RNAcentral is "partial 16S ribosomal RNA". It matches the Rfam family "Bacterial small subunit ribosomal RNA", at positions 1105 to 1382 of the family's 1533-position model. Lineage: Bacteria; Bacillati; Bacillota; Bacilli; Caryophanales; Anoxybacillaceae. The record is from RNAcentral.